UCCAAACUAGUCAUUUGUUAUUUUCCAAUCGGUUCUUAGUGUGUUAAAAUUUUAUAAGAACUAAUAAGAAAAUGACAAGUGACUAGUUUUGG
This 92-nucleotide microRNA precursor is filed under the name Prunus persica (peach). RNAcentral's name for it is "MIR6288 microRNA precursor family". It matches the Rfam family "MIR6288 microRNA precursor family". The record is from Rfam by way of RNAcentral. Lineage: Eukaryota; Viridiplantae; Streptophyta; Magnoliopsida; Rosales; Rosaceae.